AUGAAGUUCGCUUCCCCGCUCACUCACGACGAGGAGCGGGUCGACGCAUGGUAUGGAGGCGAACCGCUGCGGUACCGUACGAUGGAUAAUGUGCUCGGCGACCAGCCGGUGCCAGGACUGGUGCCACGUGACCUGGAGGCGCAGCUACAGCUUGUGUGUGAAGACGGCGAACCACGGUCCUUUGCAGAGGCCGAGAGAGACGCGGCAUGGCGCGCCGCGAUGAAGUUGGAGAUGGAUGCGGUCAAGCAAAACCGCACCUGGGAGCUUGCUGAUCUCCCUCAAGGUCACUGCGCAAUCACCCUUAAGUGGGUGUUCAAGCUGAAGAGGGAUGGAGCCGGCGCCAUCAUCAAGCACAAGGCUCGUUUGGUGGCCCGAGGCUUCUUGCAGCAGGAAGGAGUCGACUUCGACGACGCUUUCGCUCCCGUGGCACGGAUGGAGUCCGUGCGACUUCUCCUUGCGCUGGCUGCCCAGGAGGGCUGGCGUGUCCACCACAUGGACGUUAAGUCGGCAUUCCUCAAUGGCGACUUGAAGGAGGAAGUCUACGUGCAUCAGCCACCGGGGUUUACGAUUCCCGGCCAGGAGGGCAAGGUGCUCCGCCUGCGCAAGGCUCUCUAUGGCCUGCGGCAGGCACCCAGGGCGUGGAACGCCAAGCUGGACUCCACGCUGAAGAAGAUGGGUUUCGAGCAGAGCCCGCAUGAGGCUGCCGUCUACCGACGGGGGAGUGGAGGAAAUGCCCUGCUGGUGGGCGUCUACGUUGACGACCUGGUGAUCACCGGCACCAAAGAUGCAGAGGUGGCGGCGUUCAAGGAAGACAUGAAGGCCACGUUCCAGAUGAGUGACCUGGGGCUCCUCUCCUUCUAUCUAGGGAUUGAGGUGCACCAGGACCACUCCGGGAUCGCGCUCUGA
RNAcentral lists this ribosomal RNA (906 nucleotides) under Triticum aestivum (bread wheat). Its description in RNAcentral is "partial small subunit ribosomal RNA". The record is from RNAcentral. Lineage: Eukaryota; Viridiplantae; Streptophyta; Magnoliopsida; Poales; Poaceae.